UUCUGGUCCAAAGAUGGCUGCCACGGCUCCAGGGCUCGUUGCUUCCUUGUUCACAUCCACUAGUUACUAGUUCAGAGACAGGUCCAUCAGCAUCCAAUCAGAGUGAAUCCAACAGCUGCUAUGGAAAGCUACUAGGAAGUGACCCCCUCUGCGCUGGGAUCUAAGAGAUUAAAAGGGCGGAGCUGCCACGGCCAUCUUGGCAUCACAAGGUAGGGAGCACCAAGUAUGAGCCAGGAAACAGUGAAGGCUAGAAUAAUUUGAGCCUGGAUCAAGCCCCCAUCCUUGGACAUUUUAGUUACAUACACCCAUACGGUCUUUUUCUGAGGCUAGGGCUGGGAAUUACCAUCAAUCACAACCAAAAUCCUAUCUGAUUCAUGACACCUGGAGAAACUGAGCCUCAGAAAGGUGGCACAGGUGGAAAGAGAUGGCACUGCUGGUGAGUGGUGGUGUAGAGACGCAGGCCAGGCCCUCCAGCCCCGAUCCUGCUACCUCUCACCCCAGGGCCUGCUGCUACCUUGGGAGGAUCACAUUCAGGUGUCCAGCUGGUGGCCCCGCCACGGUACAGCAG
Molecule: long non-coding RNA, 568 nt
Filed under: Homo sapiens (human)
Lineage: Eukaryota; Metazoa; Chordata; Mammalia; Primates; Hominidae
Description: HSALNT0002032
Source: RNAcentral